Long non-coding RNA from Peromyscus leucopus (white-footed mouse), 290 nucleotides. RefSeq lists it as uncharacterized. NCBI's taxonomy places the organism in Eukaryota, Metazoa, Chordata, Mammalia, Rodentia, Cricetidae. The record is from RefSeq and is a predicted model, not a curated record. The transcript is spliced from 3 exons.
UACAGCCUCUACACCCCAUCCUCUGGCUCUAAGUUUCAGCUCUCCUUCCUGUGAAAUAAUCUUGCCUGUGUCAGCAAGCUCUUUGAGCAUGUCGUCCUUUCUGGCAUGAAUUGAUGCUGAACACUGUGAAGAAGGCAAGGCAAAGGUGGAAAAGAUCAUAGGGAAGGAGAUGGCAGGUGUGUUGCUGUGACAGAAGGAAGACCCUGUGACUGAUGCAUGGACAGAUGGUGUGAAAUGAGGUUGGAGCCGUAAGCAGCAGCCAAAUCAUUACAUGGGCUUUGUGGGUCAUU